UUAAUUAAAGCCAAAAUAGAGGCAAGUCAUUGUUAAUGAUUUUAAUGAAUAUAUUAUUCUAAUUAA
This 66-nucleotide transfer RNA is filed under the name Perga condei. RNAcentral describes it as "tRNA-Asn". The record is from RNAcentral. Lineage: Eukaryota; Metazoa; Arthropoda; Insecta; Hymenoptera; Pergidae.